RNAcentral lists this long non-coding RNA (2366 nucleotides) under Macaca mulatta (Rhesus monkey). RNAcentral's name for it is "lncRNA (ENSMMUG00000057909.1)". Lineage: Eukaryota; Metazoa; Chordata; Mammalia; Primates; Cercopithecidae. The record is from RNAcentral.
AUGGCAUCACUGACAACCCAGCAAGGAAAUGGAUGGAGAGGAAACCCCUGCAGAGAAGCAUUAAUGAAUGGGUUGGACUCGCCCCGCUUAUUAGAUGAGAGCGAUGGGCAGCCCUCUCAUUGUGACCACCAGUGUCGGAGGUGUCCCUGUAGCCAUCACGCCAAGCCUUGGCCCAGCGAAGCCCCCACUCUCCCAGCAGCAGUCCAGAGGCUGAAUCUCGACUGUAAAAGCCAACCUGUCUGCACCCACAACCUUUGUUCGCAGCUUAUUGGGUCCACCUUGCCUUCAAUCUUCUCCAGGACAGGGGGCCUGGUGCUCUGGCACUGGGAUACCACUAAGGAAGACCUUCUUCUCCACCUGUGAACUGAAACAUUUCUCCCAAGUGGAAAAUAAGGAGGCAUCAGAGACUCUUGGCAUAAAAAGGAAGGAGCCCAUCCACCAAGUGAGCUGGUACCACCGACUUGGGAGGAUAAACAGCCCUUAAUCAAAACCUUGCUCCAGGGAGAAAAGCAGGUGGCCCAGGGUUAUUACAGGAAAUGUGAUUGACUGACGUCCCCUGGGAGAGAAACUUUAAGCUCAAGAUGGGAGAAAGACCUGCCCUUUCAGAGCUUACUCCAGCCACUCGUGGGCUGCUAGGGGAGGGAUUUUUUUGUUUUUGUUUUUGAGACGGAGCCUCACUCUGUCCCCCAGGCUGGAGUGCAGUACAACCUCUGCUUCCUGGGUUCAAGCAAUUCUCCUGCCUCAGCCUUCUGAGUAGCUGGGACAAUAGGUGAGUACCACCACGCCUGGCUAAUUUUUUUUUUUUUGUAUUUUUAGUAAAGAUGGGGUUUCACCAUGCUAGCCAGGUUGGUCUCGAACUCCUGACAUCAAAUGAUCCACUCGCCUCGGCCUCCCAAAGUGUUGGUAUUACAGGCGUGAGCCACUGUACCCGGCCCUCCUGGGGUAGUUUUGUGCCCAUGCUAGCUCUCACUCAUCAUGCAGUUGGUAGCCCAUAAAAGGAGCCGGAGGAGGGAGGACGGGUGUGUAAGUGACCUUGAGAAAUAGUGAUGACCCAAGAUGCAUGAUUUUGCCAACCUCCGCCUCCUGGGUUCAAGCAAUUCUCCUGCCUCAGCCUCCCAAGUAGCUGGAACUACAGGCGCCGGCCACCAUGCCUGGCUAAUUUUUGUAUUUUUAGCAGAGAUGGGGUUUUGCCAUUUUGGCCAGGCUUCCCCACCUUGGAAUUGGUAAGAAUUACCGAUUAAUUAAGACAGCUGGCGACUACUGGAGGCUUUGCCUGCUAUCUGGAGGACACAGAUUUGCCCUCCAGCUUUUCUGCCCUGUAGUGACAAUUCAUAGACACCCCAACCCUGGGUAGCCCUGGGCCUUUGCUUUGCUCCUUUCUUUCCCCACUUCUCCACCUGCUGAAAUCUCAAUCCACCUGCUAUGCUUAGCAUAAGCGCUACCACCUCUAAGAAAUGAAUCCCCUCCCAGUGCCCUCCCUUCUCACUUGCAGGCAUCUGCCUUGAAUUCAGUGUGUGUUUGUUUGUUUGUUUUGAGACUGAGUCUCGCUCUGUCACCCAGGCUGGAGUACAGUGGUACGCUCUUGGCUCACAGCAACCUCUGCCUCCUGGGUUCAAACAAUUCUCCUGCUUCAGCCUCCAGAGUAGCUGGGAUUACAGGCAUGCGCCACCAUGCCUGGCUAAUUUUUGUAUUUUUAGUAGACACUGGGUUUCGUCACAUUGUCUAGGCUGGUCUUAAACUCCUGACCUCAAGUCAUCCACCCACCUCAGCCUCCCAAAGUGCUGAGAUUACAGGCGUGGGCCACCGCGUCCAGCCUGAGCCACUGCACCCAGCCAAAGUUCAUAGUGUUUGGAUGGAUGGCCUCCUUGGAGGGGCUGUGCUUGAUCCAAGUCUGCACCCCACAAUGUCUGGCUGGUGUCGUCUUCAGACGGGGCAAGAGGCAGGGAGACACAGGGCAAGGAGUCAUUGGGGCCAAGACACUUGCCCACCCAGAACCAUGUCCUGGAUACCUGCGACCUGGGAAUUCCCUGCCAACAGGUUCUGAACCCACUUCUCUAGGUCCAGUCUCCUGAAGGUGGAUGGUCUCACCAAUGUGCACACUAGAGAGGUGACCCUUUAGGGAGCAGACAUUUGCAGAGAUGGGGACAGAGCUUGGAUAUGAGGACGUGAAAGAUCCCUCAUAGCAUGGGAUGGAUCCGGCCUGGGAAUAGAAGGAAGCCACGCCAUGGCCUUAAGCUGUGCCAUCACACCUAGAAUGUUGAGGAAUGCAAGAAUUGCAAACUUGAACUUGACCUUCCAGAUUGUUAGGAAGGUGUAUCUGCUCAGAUAGGAGGAUAAAACAUGUUUUAUUUAACAGUUUGUUAGCU